Molecule: transfer RNA, 61 nt
Filed under: Argynnis anadyomene
Lineage: Eukaryota; Metazoa; Arthropoda; Insecta; Lepidoptera; Nymphalidae
Description: tRNA-Ser
Source: RNAcentral
GAAAUAUUUUACAAUUAAGCUGCUAACUUAAUUAAUAGUGAUUUAAACCAUUAAUAUUUCU